RNAcentral lists this long non-coding RNA (3654 nucleotides) under Mytilus galloprovincialis (Mediterranean mussel). Lineage: Eukaryota; Metazoa; Mollusca; Bivalvia; Mytilida; Mytilidae. The record is from RNAcentral.
CCAUUGGAAAGGCACAUGUAAAGUCAGUGCAAUUUAAAAGUGCACACGCCUGUUAGCAAGAUACUGUGUUUAAGAAACAUGUAAAAUAUAUAUAGAUGACUGGAUGACACUUUGUUCCUUCUACCUACAAGGUGAUUUAUAAAUAGCUAGCAUGCAAGGCAAAUAAAAUACAGUUAUUCAUAGAUAUGUAGAUACUUCAACUUUAGUUAGUCCAGAGCAUAUUCGAAAUUAUCAUAUCAUAACAAGAAAGCUUCUGUAAGAUUUUGUUCUAUUUGCUUUUUAAAACUAUUUUGGUUCAUUUUUUAAAAUUUUCCUGUUAUAAAUAGAAAUACGAGGUUUUACAAUACAAGCCUGAUGGGUAUAAAUAUGAACACAUCAGGCUAAUAUAUCAUAUAAAAUAUUAAUUUAAAAGUUUAAAAGAAUAUGUAGUUUGAGUGCCAAUGAGACUAGAUAUCAAAAGUAACAGGAUUAUAAUUUUAUACGCCAGACGCGCGUUUCGUCUACAUAAGACUCAUCAGUGACGCUCAGAUCAAAAUAGUUAAAAAGCCAAAUAAAUACAAAGUUGAAGAGCAUUGAGACAACUGUAUAUUUACGUCCGAAUAUAUACAAUGUACAAUUCAAAUCAUUAUAGGUAAUGCAGCCUUCAAAGCGGAGCCUUGGCUUAUACCGAACAACAAGGUAUAAAGUACCCAAAAAAUGACUGGCGUAAAACAUCGCAAACAUGAAAACCAAUGGUUUCAUCUUUAUUAAAAUGAAAAACGACAAAACACUUAUGAACAAAAUCAACAAACGACAACCUCUGAACAACAGGCUCCGGACAAGUGCCUGGGUUUAAUAUUUUAGUCAAUAUUGCUACACGUGGACAAAAUGAAGGACCCAAUCUAGACUGGUUGUUAAAAAAGAACAAACAAUUGUUUUACAUUGUCUUAUCGGGGCCUAUUAUAGCUGACUAUGUAGUAUGGGCUUUGCUCAUUGUUGAAGGCCGUACGGUGACCUAUAGUUGUUAAUGUCUGUGUAAUUUUGGUCUUUUUUGGAUAGUUGUCUCAUUGGCAAUCAUACCACAUCUUCUUUUUUAUAAAAAUGCUGAACUCUAUCUUGAGACCUAAUUAGAACAGUUGUACAGGUUAUUUUUGGGUUAUGCCAUGUAAAACAGGUUCUAAUCUAGCACCGCCUUAAUGAAAAAAAAAAAACAAAAAAAACCCGUCGUAUUACUAAACUCCUUGUGGCCUAAUUAUCUUUAUUGUGAAAAGAACAUAAAUGCAUGCCCUAUCUAACCAAGGUUAGUAGUUCAUAUAAAGUUGAAUCGGGUUCAGGUUAUAUUAGACAGUAAUUUAAGAACACACAAAAAACCACAAUGCCUCUAACAGGGCAGACCAAAUCUUGAUUUACAUAAGUAAAUAAAAAGUACAAAGUAUAUGUCUACAAAUAUUUAACUAACCUUGAUCUCAUGACUCCUGCAUGUAUUUUUUUCUAUUUGCAGGACAUCAUGGAAAGUUUGAAUGAGGUAAGAAUUUCCUUUUGAAAAGUACGAUUUGCAUGUGACUUACUGUUGUCUUUUUGCACAAAAAGAAAUAUGUAACUAUGUGUUAUUUUGGCAUAAAAACUAGAGGAAUAUAAGAAUGGUUUAGAUGAAUUAAAUUUCAAUCUGUGAAAUAAUAUUGUCAGAAAUACUACAAAAUUAAUAUAUAUAUAUGUUUCUGUUGUCUGUAGAUGUUUUUUUUAAAGGAAAACACUUGAUUACAGAAAUUUUAUUUUGGUAGUCAUUGUACUUGAUAUACAUUCUAGAUAACCCCUAGUUUUUGGUGGGGUUCGUGUUGUUUAUUCUUAAAUUUUCUAUGUUGUGGCAUGUGUACUAUUGUUUGUCUGUUUGUCGUUUUAAUUUUUAGCCAUUGCGUUGUCAGCUUGUUUUAGAUUUAUGAGUUUGACUGUACCUUUGGUAUCUUUAAUCCCUCUUUUAAAUAGCAAACUUGAAAAUUCAAAAAUCAUUAAAAGAGGUCAUAGAUAUAUAAAUAGUAGUACUUAAAACAAUUUCACUAUAGAACUAAUUGCCUUUUUGUGCAGAAUUCAGUUCUAACAAUUCUAAUAUUUACAGAAAUAUGAUAUUUAUAUGUUAUUUACAUAUUCAUGAUAUUGACUAUGAAAGUGUUAUCCGAUUUUUAAUCAAUAUAAUAAAGCGGGAAAUAGCUUUACACCGCUUAAUGUAGAUGUCGCAUUCAAAACUAUCUAGAUAAGUCUUAAAAUAUUUAUGAAAUAUUAAAUAAUUAUUGUUUGUUUAAGGAUAAUAUCUUAUUGUUUUGUGUUUGAAUUAAUCAUUCAUCUGUUAAUAAAACCGUCAAAUACCUUAAACCCUGUUUAAUGUAGAAGUCGCUUUCAAAACUAUCUAGAUAAAUCUUAAACUAUUCAUAAAAUAUCAAAUAAUUAUUGUUUGUUUUAGGAUACUAUCUUAUUGUUUUGUGUUUAAAUUAAUCAUUCAUCUGAUCGAUAAAGAAUACUCAGUACUGUUUAAAAUUUGAUUAAAUAAAAUUUGACAGUAUAAGCAAUUGUGAAAGCACUUUCUAUAUAUAUACAGCUGACGGAACUGAUACACUUUUUUUUUAGUUUGCAUCACUAGGUAAUCAAGUUUGAUCUGAAUUGCAAUUUUAAUCUCGACAGCGUUUAAAAGAUAGAUCAAUGAAUAUUUUUGUCAUUUAACCUCUCUUUGACGGACUCAAAAAGCAUGACAUAUGCAUUGCCAAAUUCCUUCCGACGGCGUCGUAGGCGGAGGUGUCUACAAUAUAUAAGAUUGUUAUUGGAUUUAGUUUAUUGUGAAAUAUUAGUUGUAGGUCAAUGAUACUUGGUAUGCAGUUGUAUUAAUAUUGGCUAAUCUCAUUUCCAUGUGGUAGGGAAAUUCCGUAGUCAAAAGUCGGUUUUAUGAUAAUAGCGAUUGGAUUAGUUUAUGUUGAAUGUUAAGUCAAUGAUAUUUGGUAUGCAAACGUAUAGGCAUUUGCAAGUCGCAUUUCUAUUCAGAUUAUAUAGCCCGGUCCCUCCUCAUGGUUUAUUGACUUUAAACCUUUUAUAUAGUUUACAAGUUAAUGUUUGUAUUAAGUUUUGUUUAAAUGGGACGACUUAUGAUAAGUCAAUGAUCUUUGAUAUGCAGCAAAACUGUUGUAUAAAUAUUGACACAUCUCAUGGAGAUUGGUCAGCCCUGUGCCUGCAGUCAUCGUUCAUGGACUUUCUAUAUGUGAAUUAUUUACAUGUUAAAGUAUUGGUACUUUAAUUUCAACAUUUACAUUAUCAAAAACAUAAAUACAAUGAAAAAGGCGAGACAUAUGUCUUUGUUAACAGUUUAUUAGUCUUUCAUUCAAUGUUGCAUACAGUACGAUGUGCCCGGAAACAGAGGCAGGAUUGCAUACUUUAUAUAAUCGUGUAUGGUGCUAUUAUUAACUUUUACGAAACUCCAGAUUAAAAGUGGUACAGUUUUAGCCGGAAUAGGAGUUCCUCUGGGAAAUUGCAUUGUCUAUGUUUCAAAAUGGCAACUUACAGUUAUACGUUCAAGACAGUAAUGGUUUUGAUUUGCUUACAGAAACUACGUAGGGCUGCUAGGAAUGGAAGAUUGAAAGAUUUGAAAAGAUGUAUACAAAAGGGAGCAGAUUUGGAAUAUAGAGAUAGUGUGAG